ACAAUCCACCAAUCAGCUAUUCCACCUAAUCACUGAAGCCACUCCUGCCAGAGUUACCCGGGCUCCAGUUCUACCACCGUGUGAUGACACGUCUCAGGAACAGGCAAAGUCAAAAACUAAGAGCGCCGAUCUUCGAAAUGAUCACAACAUUAUACACAGAGUUCAGUUCUAAG
Molecule: long non-coding RNA, 173 nt
Organism: Notothenia coriiceps (black rockcod)
Lineage: Eukaryota; Metazoa; Chordata; Actinopteri; Perciformes; Nototheniidae
Exons: 3
Source: RefSeq, a predicted model, not a curated record